UAAUCGACUCUCGCACAAGGCCCUAAGCAAUGACAGCGAUGUUGAAUAUUGCUUCCAAUGUGUCUGAUGUUGUAUUUAACCUAAUUACCUAAAUACUAGACUCGCCGUUCAUCACAUAACGUUUAGGUUUGCUGGAUAACAUCUCGACACGUUCGGUGUUAGGCGGAUCUCCUGCACACCUAAAACAUAUUUCUACCGUAACACCUUGUCCUAUCUAUAAAAAGCUGUCAGCUAAGAAAAGCGUCCGCGUGCAGCUUCAAGCUUUACAGACCAUUGUGGGAUUCGGUAGUAUUCUAUGACCGUGGGAUUCGCGUGACCUGUGACCUCUGAGACACGCACUGACCGGGAGACAGGAUGGCGAGCCAGUGCCGCCAGAACUACCACGAGGACUCUGAGGCCGGGGUCAACAAACAGAUCAACAUGGAGCUGUUCGCCAGCUACACCUACCUCUCUAUGGCCUACUUUUUCGACCGGGACGACGUCGCCUUCCCCGGCUUCUUCGACUACUUCAAGAAGGCUUCUGACGAGGAGCGCGAGCACGCGCAGAAGCUGAUGAAGUUCCAGAACCAGCGCGGCGGACGGGUGCUGCUGCAGCCCGUCAUGAAGCCGGCUCAGGACCAGUGGGGCUCGCCGCUGGCGGCCGCCCGCGCCGCCCUCGAGCUGGAGAAGUCGGUGAAUCAGUCGCUGCUGGAUCUACACACGGUGGCCGGCUCGCACGGCGACGCCCAGAUGUGCGACUUCAUCGAGAACGAGUUCCUCACCGAACAGGUGGAGGCGAUCAAGGAGCUGGGUGACAUGAUUACAAGGAUGGAGCGUUGUGGCCCGGGUCUUGGAGAGUACCUCUUCGACCGCGACCUCAAGAAGGAGUGAGCACCGCGGCCCGGGCCUGGGAGAGUACCUCUUCGACCGCGACCUCAAGAAGGACUGAGCACCGCGGCCAGGGCCUGGGAGAUCUGUUCGACCGCGACCUCAAGAAGGAGUGAGCGCUAAGCACUCCAUUUCUUUUCCCGGCGUCACCGAUGAGGGUCGUCGCCAGCCGGAGUUCUCAAUCGUGUACUGCGGAUUUCAGCAGGUGGACGCGACACUCGCGGAUGCGCAGCAUGACGCCGGAGCCGGCGCCGCAGCGCAUCAGGUGCGCGUUACAGGCGCCGAUCUGUCCAAUGUGCUCCACCU
This 1173-nucleotide unclassified non-coding RNA is filed under the name Amphibalanus amphitrite. RNAcentral describes it as "soma ferritin-like, transcript variant X2". The record is from RNAcentral. Lineage: Eukaryota; Metazoa; Arthropoda; Thecostraca; Balanomorpha; Balanidae.